UCUUCACUGAGGUUGGGAAUAAAGAAGAAGAUGAAAGAAUUGAAUGAGAGGUUGGGAACGAAGUUAGUGAAGAAGGAAGAAGAGAUCCCAGCGAAUUCUAUUCAGCUAAGUUGAGUAACUGCCUGAAACCCGCAAGCACAACCACCCAAAUCAGAAUUGUGGCAGAUACUGAUAUGGAAACAACAACCAACCGUCAAUAGAAUCUCACAAUCUUUGGGUUGUCCUCUCAGUUGGACAUGGCAGAAACCGCAACAGAGAAAGCAAACAUAAGAGAUAUAAUGAAAGCUUUAUAGAUUGAGUUGACAACUUAGGGACUCUUCCCAUCAAGGAAAUUUCCUUAAAGGGAAGUUGAAACAAAGUAACUAUUGUCAUGUAACAGAGAGCAAAAAUCAUUUCUUCAGGCCACACUCCUCCUCGAUUCCUCACUGGGAUCUCUGUGUGCUUGUUGUCCUUGAUCACAGAUACAAAUUUACGAGAGAAAACAAGGUGAAUUUGGUUCACGAUUAGCUCAACAAGCCAUCCAUAACACAGCCCCAGGAUAUGAGAGGAACUAGGGUACCUUCAGCCUUAUUCACACUAAGCCCCAAAAUCGAUUGAAGAUAAAGGGUCUACAAGAGCUUGUAUUCAUCCACUAUAACAAGUGACUACGUGCCUACAAUUGCAUAAUUUGCACUUGCAAGGUGCUUUUAGGUAAGGCUACCCAGUAUGAACCAACAAUGCAAGAUCUUGAUGACCAACAAAGCUAUUACCAAAGUGUUGAUGACACUCCUACUUAGUUGGACCUAGAAGUCCCAAACAAAAAAGGGGUUGAAGAACAAAUAGAUAUUCAGCUGCAUCGAAGUAGUGGAUUUGAAGGCGUGUGAGGCAUGGUUUCAAGUAUCGGUAUCGUAUUGUCCAUAUCGUAUUGGUAUCAGCUGAGACCAAUCCUCGAUCUUGAUCAAUCUGGAUUGAUUAUCUGUAUCAUUUCAGGAGUAAAAUAGUAAAAAAAUAUACUCUUUUUUGAAAAGCAAGGGGAAAAAGUGACCGAUACCCCCUGAUCCUCUACGAUACUGAUCCGAUCCUAGACCAAUACCGAUACCGAGAACUAAAUCCAGUUCCUAUUGUAUUUCAAGAUUUUGUUUUGAUA
Long non-coding RNA from Macadamia integrifolia, 1126 nucleotides. RefSeq lists it as uncharacterized. Lineage: Eukaryota; Viridiplantae; Streptophyta; Magnoliopsida; Proteales; Proteaceae. The record is from RefSeq and is a predicted model, not a curated record. The transcript is spliced from 4 exons.